AGAUUGAACGCUGGCGGCAUGCCUUACACAUGCAAGUCGAACGGCAGCACGGGAGCAAUCCUGGUGGCGAGUGGCGAACGGGUGAGUAAUACAUCGGAACGUGCCCAGUAGUGGGGGAUAGCCCGGCGAAAGUCGGAUUAAUACCGCAUACGACCUACGGGUGAAAGCGGGGGAUCGCAAGACCUCGCGCUAUCGGAGCGGCCGAUGUCAGAUUAGCUUGUUGGCGGGGUAAAAGCCCACCAAGGCGACGAUCUGUAGCUGGUCUGAGAGGACGACCAGCCACACUGGGACUGAGACACGGCCCAGACUCCUACGGGAGGCAGCAGUGGGGAAUUUUGGACAAUGGGCGCAAGCCUGAUCCAGCCAUGCGCGUGCGGGAGAAGGCCUGGUUGUAACGCUUUGUCAGGAGAAAGCUCCAGAUAAUACCUUGAGUCAUGACGGUACCUGAAGAAUAAGCACCGGCUAACUACGUGCCGCAGCCG
RNAcentral lists this ribosomal RNA (482 nucleotides) under uncultured soil bacterium. RNAcentral's name for it is "bacterial SSU rRNA". It matches the Rfam family "Bacterial small subunit ribosomal RNA", at positions 26 to 517 of the family's 1533-position model. The record is from RNAcentral.